This is a long non-coding RNA of Austrofundulus limnaeus, 817 nucleotides long. RefSeq lists it as uncharacterized. Lineage: Eukaryota; Metazoa; Chordata; Actinopteri; Cyprinodontiformes; Rivulidae. The transcript has 3 exons. The record is from RefSeq and is a predicted model, not a curated record.
CUCGAGGACUGGACAACCGCUGAAGACUGUAGCAACAGUUUUAGUUCCAAUCUCGCAUCAUUUGCAUUUCAACCUUAUCAUGCCUUAUCAUGAAGAUGUGCUGCAACGUCGUGCAUCUUUCACAACAUUCUGCUGAAAACGGUCCGUCGCUGUCACAUCCUGACCGGGGAGCAGGAGGCCAGCCUGAACUCUGUUGAACUUGUUGCCUCAGUAAGAAAAGGAGGCUUCCCUCUGUGUGAGUGUGUGUGUGUGUGUGUGUGUGUGUGUGUGUGUGUGUGUGUGUGUGUAAACGCCUCCUCUUGUUCAUCAUGAACGCUCACAUGCAGUUGCGUGCAUGUUGGAUGCACGUUAGCGUGUGUUUUUUACAUAAUCUCACACUAUCAGGAAGAGCACCUUGGGGGUGUUCGGGGAUAAACGGUGGAAACAAAACAAACCAGGCUUCCUUGUUUUUCCUUCCACUGUGUAAUCAGAUUCAUGACAUAAGCAGGUGACAAACGAACAGCAGUGCCUGGCAAACAGUAACCAAAACCACCUUCCUUCUUCCUUCCAGGACGCUUUGAAUGAAAACCGAUACUCAGCUCUUUUUAAAUACAUUCAUAACUGUUUUGACCUCAUAAAUACACCUUUUAUUGCUGCCUAUGAGUGUAAUGUUUUUGUGCAUGUCUAUGUGUUCAGUUUUACUAAAUCAUUUAAUGAAUCAGAGGAGUGUGAUAAUAAAACUCUCAGAAAGUAAUAAAUGUACAUCUACAACUGAUUAACUUUUAAGGUCUUUCAAAGUAUGUUUUGAAUAGUAAAAUGUGUCUUUCAUCAUCAAGCU